RNAcentral lists this long non-coding RNA (677 nucleotides) under Homo sapiens (human). RNAcentral describes it as "testis expressed 41". The record is from RNAcentral. Lineage: Eukaryota; Metazoa; Chordata; Mammalia; Primates; Hominidae.
CACCGCAAGGACUGGAGAAGGGCCAUGAGAGAAGCAGUACCUUAUAAUGGUUCCUUGUUCAAAGCACUCAAUAUUCCUAGGAUGUGGUCUCCCAGCUGACUUCAUAACUGAAUCAUCAGUAAUUAAUUUCAUUGUUCUAUUAGGACUUUACUGAAGACUCUAAGGAGGACCUGUAUCUGUUGGGAUCCUCAGGGCAAGCCACAGAAACAAGCUUUGGAUACUAGAAGCAGAAAAUGGAGAUAUUGAAGACUAUUGUGGAGUUUACUGUGAGCCAGAGAACCAGGCUGGGGGGCUGUAUCACUUAGAAUGAGAUCCAAACUCACACCAUAGUUCCAUCCUUGAGGUUGCCAUGUUGCUGCCACCCCUCCUGCCACCCCACCACUGAAGCUUUGGAUGCUGGAUUCUGGGCACAGCAGGGAGAAGUGUUGCUUAUUACCAUUUUAACACAGGUUCUUGCUCUGUUGCCCAGGCUGGAGUGCAGUGGUGUGAUCACGGCUCACUAUAGCCUCAUCCUGCUGCACUGAAGUGAUCCUCUUGCCUCAGCCUCCUGAGUAGCUAGGACUACAGGCACGUGCCACCAUACCCAGCUAUUUUUUUAAAAAUACAUUUUUGUUGAGGCUGGGUCCCCUUUGUUGUCCAGGCUGGUCUUAAGCUCCUGGCCUCAAGCAAUCCUUCCA